This is an RNA transcript of Drosophila elegans, 1782 nucleotides long. It is a transcript of the gene named cytochrome P450 6a8, with no coding region annotated. The record is from RefSeq and is a predicted model, not a curated record. The transcript is spliced from 3 exons. Lineage: Eukaryota; Metazoa; Arthropoda; Insecta; Diptera; Drosophilidae.
AGCAUCAAUAGUAGUAUGGCGUUGACAUACACUCUUUUCCAAGUGGCGAUCGCCUUGCUGGCGAUCUUCACUUACUAUCUCCACCGGAAAUUAACGUUCUUUAAGCGUCGGGGGAUUCCCUUCGAGAAACCACAUCCGAUCAGAGGAAACAUGGAGGAAUUGCAGAAAACUAAGAACUUCCACCAGAUACUCCAAGAUCAUUACAACAAAUUUCGUGAGAGCAAAGCUCCCUUUGUGGGAUUUUUCCUUUUCCACAACCCUGCUGCCUUUGUGAUAGAUCUGGAGCUGGCCAAGAAUGUUCUGAUUAAGGAUUUCUCCAACUUCUCUGACAAGGGAUUCUUUUAUAACGAGAAAAAAGAUCCCAUUUCCGCACAUCUCUUCAAUCUGGAUGGACCCCAGUGGCGUUUGCUGAGGAACAAAUUAUCCUCGACUUUUACAUCGGGUAAAAUGAAGUUUAUGUAUCCAACAGUGGUGUCCGUUGCCGAUGAAUUUAUGGCCGUGAUGCACGAAAAGGUGGCCCAAAACGCAGUCCUUGAAGUCCGUGAUUUGGUGGCCAGGUUCACGGUGGAUGUCAUCGGAACCUGUGCCUUUGGCAUCAAGUGCAACAGUCUGCGCGACGAAAAGGCCGAGUUCCUUCACUUUGGCCGGAGAUCUUUGGUGGACAGGCGACAUGGUACUCUGCUGAACGGUUUCAUGCGCAGCUAUCCCAAUUUGGCCAGAAAACUGGGCCUGGUUCGAACUGCCCAGCAUAUUCAGGAUUUCUAUCGCAGGAUAGUCACUGAUACAGUGGCGGUGCGAGAAAAGGAGAACAUCAAACGGAAUGACUUCAUGGACAUGCUCAUCGAAAUGAAGAAUCAAAAGGAAAUUAAACUCGAUAAUGGCGAAGUGGUCAAGGGACUGACCAUUGAGGAGGUCCUUGCCCAAGCCUUUGUCUUUUUCAUAGCUGGCUUCGAAACAUCCUCCUCCACCAUGGGAUUUGCUCUCUACGAACUGGCCAGGAAUCCGCAUAUCCAAGAUAAGGUUAGGACUGAAGUGGAAGAGGUUCUGGAGAAGCACAAUCAAAAGUUUACCUAUGAGUGUACUAGGGAUUUCAAGUACCUCAACCAGGUUAUCAAUGAAACUUCACGUCUUUAUACCAUUGUACCCAAUCUGGAUCGAAAGGCCCUUAAGCGGUACGUGGUUCCCGGACAUCCGAAGUUCGUCAUUGAGGCUGGUCAGUCGGUCAUCGUACCCUCAUGUGCCAUUCACCACGAUCCUAGUAUUUAUCCCGAACCCUUCGAGUUCCGGCCCGAGCGAUUCUCUCCUGAGGAAUCCGCCAAUCGUCCUUCAGUUGCUUGGCUGCCUUUUGGAGAUGGUCCUCGCAACUGCAUUGGCAUGCGAUUCGGAAUGAUGCAGGCUCGCAUUGGACUUGCUCUACUCAUCAAGAACUUUAGGUUCUCCACCUGCUCGAAAACUCCGGAUCCUCUGGUCUACGAUCCCAACUCUUUUGUGCUCGGUAUUAAGGACGGAAUCUAUCUCAAAUUGGAGGUAGUCUAAAUACGUGCCUGAGAGCCAUUAAAUCGGUGCCAAAGCUUAUGGAAGAUAACAGAUAGAUAGUUUUUAAUUUGUAGACUACCUCCCAUUGAAUCAUGUUGAGGCAGGUUUAAGCCAAUCUGGUUGCUCCCUUUAUUAAUAGGCAUUCUUAAGAUCUGUUUAACAGGUACUUUGCGGUCGAGACGCAGCCAAUGGCAAAACUUAUCAACCUGUGUCAAGUCAGAUUUCCUACAAACGGCGAAGAUAAGU